GCUAUCAACUCUAACUAAACUUACACAUGCAAGUAUCCGCACCCCCGUGAGAAUGCCCUACCGUUUCCUGCUCGGAAACAAGGAGCUGGUAUCAGGCACAAACUAGCCCACGACGCCUUGCUCAGCCACACCCCCAAGGGAGUUCAGCAGUGAUAAAUAUUAAGCCAUGAGUGAAAACUUGACUUAGUUAGUGCUAAGAGGGCCGGUAAAUCUCGUGCCAGCCACCGCGGUUAUACGAGAGACCCAAGUUGAUAGCCUUCGGCGUAAAGAGUGGUUAAGAUAAACUGGACUAAAGCCGAACAACUUCAAAGCUGUUAUACGCACACGAACCUCUGAAGCUCAACUACGAAAGUAGCUUUACCCAAUGACCCCACGAAAGCUAAGACACAAACUGGGAUUAGAUACCCCACUAUGCUUAGCCCUAAACAUCGAUAAUAAGUUACCUAUUUAUCCGCCCGGGAACUACGAGCACUAGCUUAAAACCCAAAGGACUUGGCGGUGCUUUAGAUCCACCUAGAGGAGCCUGUUCUAGAACCGAUAAUCCCCGUUAAACCUCACCUUUCCUUGUCUAAACCGCCUAUAUACCGCCGUCGUCAGCUUACCCUGUGAAGACCCUAAAGUAAGCAAAACCGGUACACCCCAAAACGCCAGGUCGAGGUGUAGCGAAUGGAAGGGGAAGAGAUGGGCUACAUUCAAUAAAUAGUGAAUACGAACGGCACCUUGAAAGAGUGCCCGAAGGAGGAUUUAGUAGUAAGCGGAGAAUAGAGUGCUCCACUGAAAUUGGCCCUGAAGCGCGUACACACCGCCCGUCACUCUCCCCGAGCUUACAAAACGAAUCACUAAUAAAUUUAAACCACUAAGGGGAGGC
This 868-nucleotide non-coding RNA is filed under the name Eupetrichthys angustipes. RNAcentral describes it as "partial 12S ribosomal RNA". It matches the Rfam family "Bacterial small subunit ribosomal RNA". Lineage: Eukaryota; Metazoa; Chordata; Actinopteri; Labriformes; Labridae. The record is from RNAcentral.